AAAUGCCAUUUGGUAUCUGACACCUGGUCAUUUUUUGUGAUUCUGUGUCUCGAAAUGAGGGGCAAUGGAACUUUGUGACACUGGCUGCUCCUAAUGAGCCUCUAGUUACUAUAUAUCCAUUUACAUCA
Non-coding RNA from Triticum urartu, 128 nucleotides. Lineage: Eukaryota; Viridiplantae; Streptophyta; Magnoliopsida; Poales; Poaceae. The record is from Rfam.